AAAAAGGUAAGCUAAUAAAAGCUAAUGGGUUCAUACCCCGUAAAUAGGAAUACCUCCUUUUUA
Molecule: transfer RNA, 63 nt
Filed under: Hexacentrus unicolor
Lineage: Eukaryota; Metazoa; Arthropoda; Insecta; Orthoptera; Tettigoniidae
Description: tRNA-Met
Source: RNAcentral